Molecule: transfer RNA, 90 nt
Filed under: Candidatus Avisuccinivibrio pullicola
Lineage: Bacteria; Pseudomonadati; Pseudomonadota; Gammaproteobacteria; Aeromonadales; Succinivibrionaceae
Description: tRNA-Ser
Rfam family: tRNA
About the family: Transfer RNA (tRNA) molecules are approximately 80 nucleotides in length.
Source: RNAcentral
GGUCAGAUGGCAGAGCGGUUUAAUGCAACGGUCUUGAAAACCGUCGAGGGCUUACGUCCUCCGUGAGUUCGAAUCUCACUCUGACCGCCA